UCAAAGAUGUACUCGUGAGGAGUACGUAAAGAACUUAUGAAUGAAUCACUAUCUUGAUCAUUCUUACAACCAAGUCUAGAAACAUAUAUACUAAACAAUCUAGACUACAAAGAAUGUACUUGUGAGAAGUACGUAAAUAAUGUACUCAUAAGGAGUACGUAAAGAAUGUACUCAUGAAGAGUACAAACAACCGAUUCUAAAACCACACUAAAACAAUCACGUAUUCUCUUCAGCUCUCGGUUUUUAUCUCGUAGAAUCGAUCAUCUUCCUUGAGUAUUGAAGUCGGUAUUUAUAGGCAUUCCAAGCAUCCACUACUUAGCCCAUGAUCUGCAAGAAAACCAACCACAAGAGCACUCAAGAUAAUGGGUUAGUGGGUUAGUU
This 381-nucleotide long non-coding RNA is filed under the name Erythranthe guttata (spotted monkey flower). RNAcentral's name for it is "long non-coding RNA (EGUT_LNC000053)". Lineage: Eukaryota; Viridiplantae; Streptophyta; Magnoliopsida; Lamiales; Phrymaceae. The record is from RNAcentral.